AGGUGCGUGGAAUAUCAGCCCUAAGAAGGAAUGUAGCAGGUGCGUGGAAUAUCAGCCCUAAGAAGGAAUGUAGCAGGUGCGUGGAAUAUCAGUCAUAAGAAGGAGUGUAGCAGGUGCGUGGAAUAUCAGCCCUAAGAAGGAGUGUAGCAGGUGCGUGGAAUAUCAGCCCUAAGAAGGAGUGUAGCGGG
This is a long non-coding RNA of Nomascus leucogenys (northern white-cheeked gibbon), 188 nucleotides long. RefSeq lists it as uncharacterized. NCBI's taxonomy places the organism in Eukaryota, Metazoa, Chordata, Mammalia, Primates, Hylobatidae. The record is from RefSeq and is a predicted model, not a curated record. The transcript has 4 exons.